AACCCAAUUAGGUCGUUCUUUGAUCAAAACAAAAAAAAAACUUCCUCUCAAUUUUCUAUCUCCCUCGUCUCUAGCUUACCCUCCGUUCAACGCUUCACUCUUAAUCUAUACAAUGAAUCUUCUGUGUUCAUUAAAUCCAUUAACUCCUACGAAGAAUUCCGCUUCUCUUUCUUUACAAUCAACGUGUAGUUCGUAUAAUAACGGAAAAAGUACCUCAAACCCUAUAAAUAGCAGAGGAAGGGAGCGCAAAGAGGGACUUUAGCACCGCGAUUCUGGAGCGGAAGAAGGCGGUGAAUCGUUUGGUUGUGGAUGAAGCCAUCAACGAUGACAACUCCGUCGUGUCUCUACACCCUGACACCAUGGAGAAGCUACAGCUCUUUCGUGGAGAUACCGUCUUUCUCAAGGUUUGUGCCGUGAAUAAAGCAUGGAGAAAGAACUCUUUAGAAGGAAAACAUGAUUUAAAACAAAUACCAGUUUUAAAGUUUGUAUAUUGACUAUUGUGAAUUAGUAAUUUACUUUAAAUAGUUUCAAAAAUAUGAUAUUCCUUUUUCUUUUUUUUUUGAAUGAAAAAAAAAUUUGGACCAUUUCUCGAUUUGUGCGUGUCAUCCUUGCGCAGGGGCCAUGCUAAUCUUCUCUGUAUCGUUCCAAUUUUAUCGGAUGUCCCCGAAGGGACGAUAUUCCUUUUUCGUGCACUGAGAGUUAAGUUAAGUCAUUCUAGAAUCAACAAUUUGAUAUUUCUUUUUUCUAUUGCUUAUGUUUUUCUUCUUCUUUUGGUUCCUUUGCUGAAUCCAAGGGUCUUGUGAAUGUGUCUCUAAUUGUGUGUGUAUGGACAACUUCCCUAUGGAUACUGUGGGUAUUGCUUUAGCUGAUGAUACAUGUGAUGAACCAAAGAUUAUGGUGAACAAAGUUGUCAGGUCGAACCUGAGGGCUAGGUUCGGAGAUGUAAUCUCUAUCCAUCAGUGCCCUGACGUCAAGUAUAGCAGGCGUGUUCACAUCUUGCCCUUAGAUGAUACCAUUGAAGGAGUUGGUGGAAAUAUAUUUGAUGCCUAUCUUAAACGUGAGUGUGUUUUAGGUGUUUCUCCUUAUAUAUAUCUCUUAGUGAGGUAUUUCGCUACCUAUUUAUAUUAAUCCUCAUCUUCUGUCA
This is a long non-coding RNA of Brassica napus (rape), 1144 nucleotides long. RefSeq lists it as uncharacterized. Lineage: Eukaryota; Viridiplantae; Streptophyta; Magnoliopsida; Brassicales; Brassicaceae. The transcript is spliced from 2 exons. The record is from RefSeq and is a predicted model, not a curated record.